UUAUAUUGCAGGUAGGGAGACUUACGCUGUAUAUCUGUGAUGUCACUGAAUGAAAGUUUAAGCGUUAUUUAAGAACGUCAGCCACAGAGCGCCACCAUUUAGGUGGUAUUUUUUUUG
The submitters of this non-coding RNA (117 nucleotides) gave its source as unclassified sequences. The record is from Rfam.